CAGCCGCCGCGGUAAUACGUAGGGUGCGAGCGUUAAUCGGAAUUACAGGGCGUAAAGCGUGCGCAGGCGGUUAUAUAAGACAGAUGUGAAAUCCCCGGGCUCAACCUGGGACCUGCAUUUGUGACUGUAUAGCUAGAGUACGGUAGAGGGGGAUGGAAUUCCGCGUGUAGCAGUGAAAUGCGUAGAUAUGCGGAGGAACACCGAUGGCGAAGGCAAUCCCCUGGACCUGUACUGACGCUCAUGCACGAAAGCGUGGGGAGCAAACAGGAUUAGAUACCCGUGUAGUCCCUGUCUCUUAUAC
RNAcentral lists this ribosomal RNA (301 nucleotides) under uncultured bacterium. Its description in RNAcentral is "partial 16S ribosomal RNA". It matches the Rfam family "Bacterial small subunit ribosomal RNA", at positions 509 to 807 of the family's 1533-position model. The record is from RNAcentral.